Molecule: ribosomal RNA, 1016 nt
Filed under: uncultured bacterium
Lineage: Bacteria
Description: bacterial SSU rRNA
Rfam family: Bacterial small subunit ribosomal RNA
Source: RNAcentral
AGGAAUAUUGGUCAAUGGGCGAGAGCCUGAACCAGCCAAGUAGCGUGAAGGAUGAAGGUCCUACGGAUUGUAAACUUCUUUUAUACGGGAAUAAAGUAUCCUACGUGUAGGAUUUUGUAUGUACCGUAUGAAUAAGCAUCGGCUAACUCCGUGCCAGCAGCCGCGGUAAUACGGAGGAUGCGAGCGUUAUCCGGAUUUAUUGGGUUUAAAGGGAGCGCAGACGGGAGAUUAAGUCAGUUGUGAAAGUUUGCGGCUCAACCGUAAAAUUGCAGUUGAUACUGGUUUCCUUGAGUGCAGUUGAGGCAGGCGGAAUUCGUGGUGUAGCGGUGAAAUGCUUAGAUAUCACGAAGAACCCCGAUUGCGAAGGCAGCUUGCUAAACUGUAACUGACGUUCAUGCUCGAAAGUGUGGGUAUCAAACAGGAUUAGAUACCCUGGUAGUCCACACGGUAAACGAUGGAUACUCGCUGUUGGCGAUAUACUGUCAGCGGCCAAGCGAAAGCAUUAAGUAUCCCACCUGGGGAGUACGCCGGCAACGGUGAAACUCAAAGGAAUUGACGGGGGCCCGCACAAGCGGAGGAACAUGUGGUUUAAUUCGAUGAUACGCGAGGAACCUUACCCGGGCUUAAAUUGCAGACGAAUUACGAGGAAACUUGUAAGCCGCAAGGCGUCUGUGAAGGUGCUGCAUGGUUGUCGUCAGCUCGUGCCGUGAGGUGUCGGCUUAAGUGCCAUAACGAGCGCAACCCUCGUGGUCAGUUACUAACAGGUUAAGCUGAGGACUCUGGCCAGACUGCCAUCGUAAGAUGUGAGGAAGGUGGGGAUGACGUCAAAUCAGCACGGCCCUUACGUCCGGGGCUACACACGUGUUACAAUGGGAGGUACAGAAGGCAGCUACCCGGCGACGGGAUGCCAAUCCCGAAAGCCGCUCUCAGUUCGGACUGGAGUCUGCAACCCGACUCCACGAAGCUGGAUUCGCUAGUAAUCGCGCAUCAGCCACGGCGCGGUGAAUACGUUCCCG